RNAcentral lists this ribosomal RNA (253 nucleotides) under uncultured bacterium. RNAcentral's name for it is "partial 16S ribosomal RNA". It matches the Rfam family "Bacterial small subunit ribosomal RNA", at positions 524 to 776 of the family's 1533-position model. The record is from RNAcentral.
UACGUAGGUGGCGAGCGUUGUCCGGAAUUAUUGGGCGUAAAGCGCGCGUAGGCGGGAUAGUCAGUCUGUUGUAAAAGCGAGGGGCUCAACCCCGGAAUGUCAAGGGAAACUGCUAUUCUUGAGUGCAGGAGAGGAAAGUGGAAUUCCCGGUGUAGCGGUGAAAUGCGUAGAUAUUGGGAGGAACACCAGUGGCGAAGGCGGCUUUCUGGACUGUGUCUGACGCUGAGGCGCGAAAGCCAGGGUAGCGAACGGG